Molecule: long non-coding RNA, 378 nt
Filed under: Rattus norvegicus (Norway rat)
Lineage: Eukaryota; Metazoa; Chordata; Mammalia; Rodentia; Muridae
Description: long non-coding RNA NONRATT006226
Source: RNAcentral
CAUUAGCUUUGUGCCCCAACUUUUGGAACAUCUAGUCUACAAGGUAUACCACAAAAGUUACUCGUGGGGGCUGUCUCCAAGUAUGUAUUUCCUUUCACCAGGACAGUUACCACAGGAUCCUCUGACCCACUUACUGGUCAUCAAUAAAACAGGUUCAAGCAUUGAUAACUUUAUACAUUCACUAAGACAGCAGGGCAUAGCAUUAGACGUGGAUGCCCUGGGGACCAGAAAUGGCAAAGAAGAGGCUCUGUACAAUGGUGCUGUCACAGUGCUGGGUGACGAGAAGGACCUCAGAUUUUCUGUAGCGUGUAAUGCCAAAAGACUAAACUGCUUUCCAGUCCUCGCGGAUAUCCUUAGCAAUGGGCUGCUUGGAAUUUU